CCCGCUGAACUUAAGCAUAUCAAUAAGCGGAGGAAAAGAAACCAACAGGGAUUGCCUUAGUAACGGCGAGUGAAGCGGCAACAGCUCAAAUUUGAAAUCUGGCUUCUCUGAAGUCCGAGUUGUAAUUUGUAGAGGAUGUUUCGGUUCUGGCUCUGGUCUAAGUUCCUUGGAACAGGACGUCAUAGAGGGUGAGAACCCCGUAUGUUACUGGCAGCUGGUAACCAUGUGAAACUCCUUCGAUGAGUCGAGUUGUUUGGGAAUGCAGCUCAAAAUGGGUGGUAAAUUUCAUCUAAAGCUAAAUACUGGCCAGAGACCGAUAGCGCACAAGUAGAGUGAUCGAAAGAUGAAAAGUACUUUGGAAAGAGAGUUAAACAGUACGUGAAAUUGCUGAAAGGGAAACGCUUGAAGUCAGUCGCGUUGGCCGGGGAUCAGCCUUGCUUCUGCAUGGUGUACUUUCUGGUUGACGGGUCAGCAUCAAUUUUGACCACUGGAAAAGGUUCAGGGGAAUGUGGCAGCUUCGGCUGUGUUAUAGCCCUUGUUCAUAUACAGUGGUUGGGAUUGAGGAACUCAGCACGCCGCAAGGCCGGGUUUCGACCACGUUCGUGCUUAGGAUGCUGGCAUAAUGGCUUUAAGCGACCCGUCUUGAAACACGG
Molecule: ribosomal RNA, 653 nt
Filed under: uncultured fungus
Lineage: Eukaryota; Fungi
Description: eukaryotic LSU rRNA
Rfam family: Eukaryotic large subunit ribosomal RNA
Source: RNAcentral